GUUUUCACAAUGACUCCAGUUAUCCUCGUGUGCCUCACCCUUGUUCUUAUUGCAGGACAAGCAUCAUCAUUGCCAACAUCAACGAGGCUGCCGAUACGAAUUAGCAGGUCAAGUGAGUUAGGAGGUCACUCUGUCACAUCAAUCGACACAGACGGCGAUGCGACCAUCGAUUACGAGGACGACAACAUCAAGUUCGUCCAAGGACAGGUUUUGCGAGCUGUAACAAAGACACCGG
This is a long non-coding RNA of Branchiostoma belcheri (Belcher's lancelet), 235 nucleotides long. RefSeq lists it as uncharacterized. The record is from RefSeq and is a predicted model, not a curated record. The transcript is spliced from 4 exons. NCBI's taxonomy places the organism in Eukaryota, Metazoa, Chordata, Leptocardii, Amphioxiformes, Branchiostomatidae.